Molecule: ribosomal RNA, 510 nt
Filed under: Escherichia coli
Lineage: Bacteria; Pseudomonadati; Pseudomonadota; Gammaproteobacteria; Enterobacterales; Enterobacteriaceae
Description: partial 23S ribosomal RNA
Rfam family: Bacterial large subunit ribosomal RNA
Source: RNAcentral
UCCUAAAGAGUAACGGAGGAGCACGAAGGUUGGCUAAUCCUGGUCGGACAUCAGGAGGUUAGUGCAAUGGCAUAAGCCAGCUUGACUGCGAGCGUGACGGCGCGAGCAGGUGCGAAAGCAGGUCAUAGUGAUCCGGUGGUUCUGAAUGGAAGGGCCAUCGCUCAACGGAUAAAAGGUACUCCGGGGAUAACAGGCUGAUACCGCCCAAGAGUUCAUAUCGACGGCGGUGUUUGGCACCUCGAUGUCGGCUCAUCACAUCCUGGGGCUGAAGUAGGUCCCAAGGGUAUGGCUGUUCGCCAUUUAAAGUGGUACGCGAGCUGGGUUUAGAACGUCGUGAGACAGUUCGGUCCCUAUCUGCCGUGGGCGCUGGAGAACUGAGGGGGGCUGCUCCUAGUACGAGAGGACCGGAGUGGACGCAUCACUGGUGUUCGGGUUGUCAUGCCAAUGGCACUGCCCGGUAGCUAAAUGCGGAAGAGAUAAGUGCUGAAAGCAUCUAAGCACGAAACUUGC